UGAAGGAGAUGACCGGGACCUUAGUCUUAUUUCCGAGGUCUGAUACAAAUGAAACUUGUGAAGAUUUUUGCGGGCCUAUGAUAACUUGCACAUUAUGACUAUCCAUCAGGUCAAGAGCUGUAAGUUGCACAGGAAGACAAACUUAGUGAAAGUUGUUGCAUGCAGGACAUUUUAUGCUACAGGAAAUCUUCCUGUAUUCAGAAAUUAGAAAUGAAGAAUAUCAGCGAAAUAGUUUUUUGCUGAUUUAUAUAUGUUUUUUACUUUCUAGAGCACCAUCUAGUAAAUAGGGCUAGUAAACUUGUGCCAAACAGGAUUGCGGGUGAUUGUAGAUGUAGCUACAAAAUUUAAAGUCUGUACCAAGCACGUACCACAGUACCAGUUGAAUGGAGGUCACCAGACAUAAUAGGAUGACAGAGGGGAGCUCUACCAUGGAUGACUGAAUGCAUGAAGCAUCCAAGUUUUUUCAUCUUAAACUAAUAUUCCUAAAAUUUGUAUCUCACAAACUUUUUUCACACCUUACAUUACGUAUAUGCCAUGUUUUUGUUAUCAUAUUAUAUUGUGGGAAUGAUUGACUCCAUGGUUUGUUUCAAACCUACUAUCACUGGUAUACUUUGAUUGAUCCAUUUGGAGGAUUCUGUCAUGUUCACAUUUGGGUUUUUCAAUUGGAAGCAAACUUUGUACUGACAGUUAUCCAAUACCUGAAUAGCUAGGAUAAAAUCGUCCUGACAUUUUGUGAGGCGCAGGAUGAUUCCUAUGACUAGAAAUUCUUUCACAGGGCCAUCCAUCAGGCAUUGAGUGGCGAAUAGCUCUUCACAGCCAUAAGAGUAAAAGGUUUUGUCACACCAAAGAGCAAGAAUCCAUUUUACACAUCAGAUCUUUGAAUUGUUAAGAUGCUGUUUGUGAAAGUACAGAUAUGAGCACAGAAGUCUUCAAUCUCAAUGCGCUAGUUCUUUUCUUGAGAAGAAGUGAGAUUGUUGUAUCAAGUAACUGUACGCCAGUUAUGAAGCUUCUUUAGUUGCUCCAGCUGAGCCUCUGGGUAAUUAUGUCGCAAAGGUGCAAUUUCGAGGCAAGCAAUGGUGAGAAAGUCAAAUGUCUUCUUCCCAUCAUGAAGUACCCAGUCAGAUAAUUGACCCUGUUACAAAAGAAUCAACUCUUAUCCCAUAACCUGAUCUCAGCCCAUCUAUUGGAACUCGCCACCUGACGCCGGUCGCCCAGCCUUGGUUCUUAUGUGCAUCAGAACUGAUCUCAGGUGUCAUGUACUCAUGUGCAACACCAAUUGAAGAGUGGUGAUGUGGAAGAGGCGAGCUGGGGAAGCCGAGGCGAAAUGGUUCUUUUGCGCUCUUAAGUCUUCACUGAUGGUUAUUUAACAAUAGUGGUAAAAAGAAACAAGUAAAGAAAGUGCGGGCCAGUUUUUUUUAACUGUACAGCAGGGAAAUCCUACUGUGAUAAUAUAUUAAAGCAUAAUAGAAAAACACAAACAGACUGUACAGGGGAACAACAGCUAAUUGUACAGGAGGCAGCCAAAGGAAGUUGGGGGGGGGGGGGGG
Long non-coding RNA from Phragmites australis (common reed), 1547 nucleotides. RefSeq lists it as uncharacterized. The record is from RefSeq and is a predicted model, not a curated record. The transcript is spliced from 3 exons. Lineage: Eukaryota; Viridiplantae; Streptophyta; Magnoliopsida; Poales; Poaceae.